GGUGCCAUCGUUCAGCGGCAGGAUACCGGAUUGUCGCUCCGGAGAGCGGGGUUCGAUUCCCCGUGGCAUCG
RNAcentral lists this transfer RNA (71 nucleotides) under bacterium JGI 053. It matches the Rfam family "tRNA". From Rfam's summary of the family: Transfer RNA (tRNA) molecules are approximately 80 nucleotides in length. Their secondary structure includes four short double-helical elements and three loops (D, anti-codon, and T loops). The record is from Rfam by way of RNAcentral.